RNAcentral lists this ribosomal RNA (676 nucleotides) under uncultured bacterium. RNAcentral describes it as "bacterial SSU rRNA". It matches the Rfam family "Bacterial small subunit ribosomal RNA", at positions 153 to 845 of the family's 1533-position model. The record is from RNAcentral.
GAAACGACUGCUAAUACCGCAUAAGCCCACAGCUCGGCAUCGAGCAGAGGGAAAAGGAGCAAUCCGCUUUGAGAUGGCCUCGCGUCCGAUUAGCUAGUUGGUGAGGUAACGGCCCACCAAGGCAACGAUCGGUAGCCGGACUGAGAGGUUGAACGGCCACAUUGGGACUGAGACACGGCCCAGACUCCUACGGGAGGCAGCAGUGGGGAAUAUUGCACAAUGGGGGAAACCCUGAUGCAGCGACGCCGCGUGGAGGAAGAAGGUCUUCGGAUUGUAAACUCCUGUUGUUGAGGAAGAUAAUGACGGUACUCAACAAGGAAGUGACGGCUAACUACGUGCCAGCAGCCGCGGUAAAACGUAGGUCACAAGCGUUGUCCGGAAUUACUGGGUGUAAAGGGAGCGCAGGCGGGAGAACAAGUUGGAAGUGAAAUCCAUGGGCUCAACCCAUGAACUGCUUUCAAAACUGUUUUUCUUGAGUAGUGCAGAGGUAGGCGGAAUUCCCGGUGUAGCGGUGGAAUGCGUAGAUAUCGGGAGGAACACCAGUGGCGAAGGCGGCCUACUGGGCACCAACUGACGCUGAGGCUCGAAAGUGUGGGUAGCAAACAGGAUUAGAUACCCUGGUGGUCCACACCGUAAACGAUGAUUACUAGGUGUUGGAGGAUUGACCCCUUCAGUG